Molecule: ribosomal RNA, 443 nt
Filed under: Proasellus sp. n. Aquamalas Pontones
Lineage: Eukaryota; Metazoa; Arthropoda; Malacostraca; Isopoda; Asellidae
Description: partial 16S ribosomal RNA
Rfam family: Bacterial large subunit ribosomal RNA
Source: RNAcentral
CCUAUGAAUAGUUUAAAUGGCCGCAGUACUUUGACUGUGCAAAGGUAGCAUAAUCACUUGUCUUUUAAUUGGAGGCUGGAAUGAAGGAGGCGACGAAAAUUAGACUAUUUGGAUUUAAGGUAAAAUUAACAUAAAGGUCAAAAGGCCUUUAUAGACCAAAGGGACRAUAAGACCCUAUAAAACUUUACUAUAUAAUAUAUUACUYRNGUGGAAUUAAAGUUAUAGUUUAGCUGGGGCGGUUUAUAUAAAAACAAUUGAAAUAUAAAUAUAUUUAAUAGAUUUAGAGAGCUUUAAUAKGAAAUGAACAAGUUACUUUAGGGAUAACAGCAUAAUUCUCCCAGAGAGUCCUAAUUGGCGGGAGAGCUUAUGACCUCGAUGUUGAAUUGGGGUGUCUAAUGUAAGUAGAAAUAUAUUAAGAUAGUCUGUUCGACUAUUAAAYUCCC